Molecule: long non-coding RNA, 1984 nt
Organism: Bos taurus (domestic cattle)
Lineage: Eukaryota; Metazoa; Chordata; Mammalia; Artiodactyla; Bovidae
Source: Ensembl
CAUUUAGUUGUUAGAGAUAUCUGUUUUCAGUAUACAUGAGAGACUGAUGAUUCAACAUUAUUUCACACUAACUCAAGAAUUUUAGAUGGAAGGUAAUUACCAUUGCAAUUAGUUUAUUUCUGGUUUGUUGUGGCAGCUUGCUGGCUUGGGGUACAAAAUAAGGAGACUUAAUAAGUUGGUUAUUUACAAUUCUUAGAAAGAGACUGCAGUAAGUUGAGGCCUUGCCACUGCCUCUUCGUAAUUGGGUGGCCUUAUGCUAUUUAUCAAGCCUCUUUGAACCACCAUUUCCUCAUCUGAAAAUAGGGAGUAAAAAUGAUAGACAUCUCAUAAGGUUCCUGUGAGAAUUAAAUUAGAUAAUCCAAUCAAAGCAUUUUAGCACAGUAUCUAGUACAUUAAAUAGAUGCUUAAUAAAUCCCUAUUCAUUCUCAUUACUGCUAUCUAAAAUACAGAUCUCAAAGAGGAGCUUGGAUUUAACAAUCUGAAUAUAUUUCUUUCUUUUUUGUUCCUGUUUAGCCUUUAUGGCAUUGCCUAUAGAGCUAAACAUUCAGUAUGUUUUCUAAUCAAGAGGGAAAAUUAUACAGGGAGAAAAAGGGAACUCUACAGAUUGGGUGCAGGGCUUGGGAAACAAUUUAGCCUUCUGCUGCUGUGAAGUAUAUUCAGCAGAACACUUGUCCCAUGAUAUGUGCCAAAAAAACAAAGGGAGUUGGAUGAUAUACAGUUUGGGAAAUAUAACUUUUUACAUACCUCUCUUUUUAAUUUUUAAAUGCUUUUUAUUGAAAAUUGAAGCCCUGGGAGUUAGACAGUAAAGGGAGUUUCAAACUUUAUUUAACCCAGAAUUUCCUAGACUUCUCUCACUGAGGAUGCUUCCGAAAAUAUGAGUCCAUAUUUUUUGAAAAGCUAAUUUAGCCCAGUCCCUCCUUGGGGAGAAAACUGAGACCCAGACAGGGGGAGGGAUAAGCUGUAGGUGAGAUGAUCCUAGGUCUAAACUCCAUCAAUGGACCCAGGCUAGGAUACUUGCACCUAAAUCACUCUUAGCUAAAUGACUGACAAUAGUGAUGGCAUUGGUCUGAAAAACCCUUCUUAAUUCUCAUCCUUCCAGUGCAGACCCCAAGUAAAGGGCCACAUGAGAUACUGAAGGCCAAGCAGGAAAAGCAGGGACACAGCAACCAGGCGUCCUUCCUUAGAUGGCGCAGGGACAGACACUCGUCCUGCCUGGGCAUUCCAAAGCUUUACUUAGAGAUGGUCCCUGCCAUGACACAGAUGCUGGGCUGGGCCAUCCCUCCACCUACUACUGGGUUAAGAAUUUAAAUGGACCAAAAUGAUGGGAUGGCUUGGAGGGGAGUUUUCCUAUGAAUUGGUUUUUUAAGGGUUUUAUUUAUUUAUUUAAUUUUUGGCUACAGCGUGCAGCAUGCAGGAUCUUAGUUCCCCUACCGGGAUUGAACCCGCCCAUGCCCCUUUCAGUAGAAGUGCAGAGUCCUAACCACUUGACUGCCAGGGAGUUCUCCUCCUACGAAUUCUUUAGUGGAAAGCUGGGGGCUUUCCUCCAGAAAACUUGGCGAGAAGACCCCUAUGUUGAGAAAUUGUGAAGUCGCUGACCCCCACAGCCCCUAACACUGCUUCCAUAGAACCCAGGCUUCAUCAGGGCAGUCACAAGGAUAGAGGCUGCCCCAGUUCUGGAGACAUGUGGACAGUGAAGGAGCCACAUCACGAGGGAAAUCCGGCUGCAGCUGUGAUGGACGAGAGACAGCCAAGGGUUUAUCACCACUGCCCUGCCCCAGACAGCAGAUUUAUCACCAUGGAACUGAUCCCACCACUUCCUGGUUUGUGGUUCCCUGGACUUUUGGAUCAGAUCAGUCGCUCAGUCGUGUCCGACUCUUUGCGACCCCAUGAAUCGCAGCACGCCAGGCCUCCCUGUCCAUCAGCAACUCCUGGAGUUCACUCAGACUCAUGUCCAUCGAGUCAGUGAUGCCAUCCAGCCAUUCCA